AAUGGAAAGAACAAGAGAGACAAUGAAAAAAAUCUAAAGUCUAUAGAUCACUUGAAAAGACAUUACGAAAGAGACAAGGAAAAGCGAAAUGGAAGCUCCUGGAGAUCAAUGGAUGCUUGGAAGGAGAAGAGGAACUGGGAAGAUGUACUCUCCACACCACAACGAAUUUCAUCUCGCUUCUCAUAUUCACCUGGCUUGAGUAGAAGAAGUGCAG
This 214-nucleotide unclassified non-coding RNA is filed under the name Hevea brasiliensis (rubber tree). The record is from RNAcentral. Lineage: Eukaryota; Viridiplantae; Streptophyta; Magnoliopsida; Malpighiales; Euphorbiaceae.